UUUUGUUAGGUGGGGGAGAAAAGCCCUCACCAAACCAAUGUAUCCUUGCCGGAUUGGAAGAUUUGUUCGCCCCACUUGGGGAUUGAGACCCCGCCCCAAAUCUCUUAGGGGAGGCGGCAGUAGGGAAUCUUCCCACAAGGGGCGAAACCCUUGAUGGAACAACCCCCGCGUGUGUGAUGAAGGCUUUCGGGUCGUAAAGCACUGUUGUAUGGGAAGAACAGCUAGAAUAGGAAAUGAUUUUAGUUUGACGGUACCAUACCAGAAAGGGACGGCUAAAUACGUGCCAGCAGCCGCGGUAAUACGUAUGUCCCGAGCGUUAUCCGGAUUUAUUGGGCGUAAAGCGAGCGCAGACGGUUUAUUAAGUCUGAUGUGAAAGCCCGGAGCUCAACUCCGGAAUGGCAUUGGAAACUGGUUAACUUGAGUGCAGUAGAGGUAAGUGGAACUCCAUGUGUAGCGGUGGAAUGCGUAGAUAUAUGGAAGAACACCAGUGGCGAAGGCGGCUUACUGGACUGCAACUGACGUUGAGGCUCGAAAGUGUGGGUAGCAAACAGGAUUAGAUACCCUGGUAGUCCACACCGUAAACGAUGAACACUAGGUGUUAGGAGGUUUCCGCCUCUUAGUGCCGAAGCUAACGCAUUAAGUGUUCCGCCUGGGGAGUACGACCGCAAGGUUGAAACUCAAAGGAAUUGACGGGGACCCGCACAAGCGGUGGAGCAUGUGGUUUAAUUCGAAGCAACGCGAAGAACCUUACCAGGUCUUGACAUCCUUUGAAGCUUUUAGAGAUAGAAGUGUUCUCUUCGGAGACAAAGUGACAGGUGGUGCAUGGUCGUCGUCAGCUCGUGUCGUGAGAUGUUGGGUUAAGUCCCGCAACGAGCGCAACCCUUAUUGUUAGUUGCCAGCAUUCAGAUGGGCACUCUAGCGAGACUGCCGGUGACAAACCGGAGGAAGGCGGGGACGACGUCAGAUCAUCAUGCCCCUUAUGACCUGGGCUACACACGUGCUACAAUGGCGUAUACAACGAGUUGCCAGCCCGCGAGGGUGAGCUAAUCUCUUAAAGUACGUCUCAGUUCGGAUUGUAGUCUGCAACUCGACUACAUGAAGUCGGAAUCGCUAGUAAUCGCGGAUCAGCACGCCGCGGUGAAUACGUUCCCGGGUCUUGUACACACCGCCCGUCACACCAUGGGAGUUUGUAAUGCCCAAAGCCGGUGGCCUAACCUUUAGGAAGGAGCCGUCUAAGCAGACAGUUGCGA
This 1250-nucleotide ribosomal RNA is filed under the name Leuconostoc mesenteroides. RNAcentral describes it as "bacterial SSU rRNA". It matches the Rfam family "Bacterial small subunit ribosomal RNA", at positions 240 to 1474 of the family's 1533-position model. The record is from RNAcentral. Lineage: Bacteria; Bacillati; Bacillota; Bacilli; Lactobacillales; Lactobacillaceae.